Molecule: ribosomal RNA, 343 nt
Filed under: uncultured Oscillospiraceae bacterium
Lineage: Bacteria; Bacillati; Bacillota; Clostridia; Eubacteriales; Oscillospiraceae
Description: partial 16S ribosomal RNA
Source: RNAcentral
UGAGUCUGGGCCGUGUCUCAGUCCCAAUGUGGCCGAUCGACCUCUCAGUCCGGCUACCGAUCGUCGGCAUGGUGAGCCGUUGCCUCACCAUCUACCUAAUCGGACGCGAGCCCAUCUCUCAGCGAUAAAUCUUUGAUGUUUUCGUCAUGCGGCAAAAAUAUGUCAUGAGGUAUUAUCAAUCGUUUCCAACUGUUAUCCCUCUCUGAGAGGCAGGUUGCUCACGUGUUACUCACCCGUCUGCCACUAGAUGGAAAAUCUCUAUCCAACUUUGUGCAAGCACGCAGUUUUCUAAAAGGCCAUCUCGUUCGACUUGCAUGUCUUAGGCAUGCCGCCAGCGUUCAUC